Long non-coding RNA from Astatotilapia calliptera (eastern happy), 1314 nucleotides. The record is from Ensembl. NCBI's taxonomy places the organism in Eukaryota, Metazoa, Chordata, Actinopteri, Cichliformes, Cichlidae.
AGCGGGGGAGGCAUCUGGAUGCCCAGGACUUCCAUUAGAGGCCCAGGAUGGUGGCAUGGGUCGAUGUGGGAGGUGAGACCUUCUCUGGGACACACUAAUCAGCUCAAAGCCAAAGCCCAGGCAGGGAGGCGCUGGACAGCCUCAGGAGUUUGGCUUGUUGGAGCAGAGUGUAAAGUCCCUGGGGAGGAGCUCCUCUGGUGUUGGGGGCACUGCCUCGACCUCACUCAUGCCUGGUGUGGGUGGCAUCCAACAAGGGAGACACACAAUGGAGAGCAGGACUUGAAGAUGGUGAUGCUUCUGGUGGGCUCUCUCAGGACUCAGCCUUAUUCUCAGGGUCAUGCAUUCCAGCAAUCUCUGUAAUUAUAAGCAAGUGAGAAAAAAGUCGAGUCUUCUGCCUUUCUCAAAAUGAACGUGCCCCACUCCUCAAGGGAAACAUUCACAUCUCUGAGUUCUAGUAGCUGGACGGGUUUUAAUGAGUGUACUGUUAGAGCCAAAUGGACAGAGGUUGAAGAGGCCACAGGUCAAAAGGAACUGCUGAAGAAUCCCACCACCCGAGGACCAUGAAUUCCACUGGGGAACAUUUCACCCUGCUGAGAGGCAGAGUGAAAUCUGUGAUGCAGCAGCACACGCUCGCUCGCUGUGGUGCCUCGAUGUCUAGCUAAAAUCUACGGGAGAUGGGGGGGAAAAAAAUCUCUGCACAACUGCUCAGUUUUACUACAAAUACCGUGGCAAAAAAAAUAAAAAUGGAAAAAAAGACUGUGCUUUUGUGCAUUCGAUAGCAUUUCAAAGACUUCUAGUCCACAUAAUGACUUUUGGAAGCACAACACAAUAUUGGGGAUUGAUGUUUAUGCAAAUGGCUUCAUGUGAAGCUACAAUGCAGGCCUAUAAAACAAAAGAAAAUAGUUGAAUAUUGAAGGCACGUGCAGGUACAUGCAUGACCUUAUGCGCUGAAUAGAAAUUUCCUGGCUUGCGUUGUUUUCAUUGCAAACAUGUCAUCUUUUCUGUAUAACUUUGUUUGAUUCCCCUUUCCAUUCUCCUCAGAGAUGAGACUUGAAACAAAAAACAAAAACAAAAAAAAACAUUUGUGACGAUCUUCAUUGUGCCUAUUUGCUCCCAAAAUUUCCACAUGGUUCUCCUUUCCUUAUUUAUAAGGGUAUCCCUAAGAGGGAAGCCAUGUCAGACACGUUUUUUUUUUUUUUUUUGGAGCUUCUUGAGCAACAUUCCUCACAUGAGGUUUCUUCUACUUGAAGAAAAAAAACAACUUCUGAGGAAAAGUGUACUGUAACUUAGAGACUUAACAGUGCAAGCUCUGAG